AUGCGGACAAUGAUGAAGGAGAAGAAACUUAUAGAAGGGGAGCAUGCUAUUGAUGAGUUAGACAAAGCGAAUCUUAUUGACCAAUCAAUUGCUGAUAAUAAUGCUAGGGAGGUCUAUGUUGGCUCUAAUUACCAUAUUGCUGCUCUCUCUGAUGUUGUUCAUGAAAUUUUUAUUCUGGAUUAUGUGAAUAAGAGUCCUGACAAAGCUACUGUACUAGAGAUAGGAGAUGAUGUGUGUACACCUGCUGUUGAUCUGGGUGGAAUUGGUGAGUGUUCUAAGUCUAAGAACCUAGACUAUCGCUCUCGGCUGUUAAAAUCUGUGGAUAUGGAAGGGCAUGUACAAUGGUUGAUAAGAUAG
This 357-nucleotide ribosomal RNA is filed under the name Triticum aestivum (bread wheat). RNAcentral's name for it is "partial small subunit ribosomal RNA". The record is from RNAcentral. Lineage: Eukaryota; Viridiplantae; Streptophyta; Magnoliopsida; Poales; Poaceae.